GGCCUUGUGGCGAGUCUGUGGCGAUAUCUUUCUAACUUGUUGCUAUCAAAUGAAAUUAUGCUGCCUUCUAAGCAGGGGGUUGCAGGUUCGAUUCCUGCCGGGGUCGCCA
RNAcentral lists this transfer RNA (109 nucleotides) under Rhodospirillales bacterium. Its description in RNAcentral is "tRNA-OTHER". The record is from RNAcentral. Lineage: Bacteria; Pseudomonadati; Pseudomonadota; Alphaproteobacteria; Rhodospirillales.